Molecule: ribosomal RNA, 853 nt
Filed under: uncultured bacterium
Lineage: Bacteria
Description: bacterial SSU rRNA
Rfam family: Bacterial small subunit ribosomal RNA
Source: RNAcentral
GAUGAACGCUGGCGGCGUGCCUAAUACAUGCAAGUCGGACGCUCCGGAACAGCAAUGGGACGGAGAGUGGCGAACGGGUGAGUAACACGUAGCUGACCUGCCCUUCAGCGGGGGACAACAGCUGGAAACGGCUGCUAAUACCGCGUACGCUGGUGAGGAUUAGAAAGUCACCAGGGAAGUUGAAAGACACUGAAGGAGGGGGCUGCGGCCCAUCAGGUAGUUGGUCGGGUAAUGGCCGACCAAGCCGACGACGGGUAGGGGGCCUGAGAGGGUGACCCCCCACACUGGAACUGAGAGACGGUCCAGACUCCUACGGGAGGCAGCAGUAAGGGAUAUUGCGACAAUGGGCGAAAGCCUGACGCAGCAACGCCGCGUGUGGGAUGACGGCCUUCGGGUUGUAAACCACUUUUCUGGGGGAAGAGGAAGGACGGUACCCCAGGAAGAAGUCUCGGCUAACUACGUGCCAGCAGCCGCGGUAAAACGUAGGAGGCGAGCGUUAUCCGGAUUUACUGGGUGUAAAGCGCGUGCAGGCGGCUUUGUAAGGGGUGUGUGAAAGCGCCCGGCUUAACCGGGCGAGGCCGCACCCGACUGCAGAGCUGGAGGGCGGUAGAGGCGUGUGGAAUUCCGGGUGUAGUGGUGAAAUGCGUAGAGAUCCGGAGGAACACCAGAGGCGAAGGCGACACGCUGGGCCGACCCUGACGCUCAGACGCGAAAGCAUGGGGAGCGAACGGGAUUAGAAACCCCGGUAGUCCACGCCGUAAACGAUGCUGACCAGGUGUGGCGGGGGUAACAGCCUGCCGUGCCGAAGCUAACGCGCUCAGUCAGCCACCUGGGGACUACGGCCGCAAGGUUA